AGAUCAUUUCACUCCUUUACUUCCCUGACUCUUUAGGCAAAAAAGCUUGAAGUUCCUCUAAAAACAGAUUGGAGGCAGUGAGGCAAAUGGCAAUAACUUACCUGUGAGGCACCUGAGGACUUGGACUAAGAUAGUUCAGAGGAAACGGAAAGGUAGACAUGGAAAUAGAAGCCUGAGGCCUGGUGACUGAGCGGGGAGACCAGACAUGGUGGGGAAGAUGAGGAAGAGGCGAGAGCGGAAGACCAAAACAAUGUUUGAAUUGCAGAGCCAAAGAAAAGCGCAGAGAAACUCAGAAUGAAACUGUGAUAUUGAUAUUUUACCAAGUUUUCUCCAAGAUAUUGAUUACGACUUUCAGCCAAGUAUGACUCAUUGCUGUAAUCUAACAUGAUAUCAUCAGCCUUUUGAAUUUCAGGAGAGAGAUGAGAGUGAUCUUUCAGCAAAAUUAGUAAGUUAA
Molecule: long non-coding RNA, 454 nt
Filed under: Capra hircus (goat)
Lineage: Eukaryota; Metazoa; Chordata; Mammalia; Artiodactyla; Bovidae
Description: lncRNA (ENSCHIG00010004138.1)
Source: RNAcentral